RNAcentral lists this ribosomal RNA (414 nucleotides) under uncultured bacterium. RNAcentral describes it as "partial 16S ribosomal RNA". It matches the Rfam family "Bacterial small subunit ribosomal RNA", at positions 355 to 755 of the family's 1533-position model. The record is from RNAcentral.
UGGGGAAUUUUGGACAAUGGGCGCAAGCCUGAUCCAGCCAUGCCGCGUGCGGGAAGAAGGCCUUCGGGUUGUAAACCGCUUUUGUCAGGGAAGAAAUCUUCUGAGUUAAUACCUCGGGAGGAUGACGGUACCUGAAGAAUAAGCACCGGCUAACUACGUGCCAGCAGCCGCGGUAAUACGUAGGGGUGCAAGCGUUAAUCGGAAUUACUGGGCGUAAAGCGUGCGCAGGCGGUUUUGUAAGACAGAGGGUGAGAUCCCCGGGCUCAACCUGGGAACUGCCUUUGUGACUGCAAGGCUUGAGUGCGGCAGAGGGGGGAUGGAAUUCCCGCGUGUAGCAGUGGAAAUUGCGUAGAUAUGCGGAGGGACACCGAUGGCGAAGGCAAUCCCCUGGGCCUGCACUGACGCUCAUGCACG